GCCCGAGUGGCUCAGUCGGUUAAGCGUCUGACUGCGGCUCAGGUCAUGAUCUCACGGUUCGUGGGUUUGAGCCCACAUCAGGCU
Molecule: transfer RNA, 84 nt
Organism: Felis catus (domestic cat)
Lineage: Eukaryota; Metazoa; Chordata; Mammalia; Carnivora; Felidae
Rfam family: tRNA
About the family: Transfer RNA (tRNA) molecules are approximately 80 nucleotides in length. Their secondary structure includes four short double-helical elements and three loops (D, anti-codon, and T loops).
Source: Rfam